UUUCCGUAGGUGAACCUGCGGAAGGAUCAUUAAUGAGUUGUCAUGGGGUUCGAUGCUGGCAGCCAAUUUUUGGAUGCAUGUGCUUGCCCUAACAAACAUCUUCCAAACACCUGUGCACAUUUUUGAGGGAGUCUUGAGUUGGUUGCCGCUCUUGGGUGAUUUUCUCACAUUCCCUUAAAUCAUUAUACGCUAUUAACAAUGUUGAACGUGCUCUGUGCCGCAAGGCUAUUAAUAUAAUACAACUUUUAACAACGGAUCUCUUGGCUCUC
Molecule: unclassified non-coding RNA, 269 nt
Filed under: plant metagenome
Description: partial contains small subunit ribosomal RNA, internal transcribed spacer 1, and 5.8S ribosomal RNA
Source: RNAcentral